This 73-nucleotide transfer RNA is filed under the name Cordylochernes scorpioides. Its description in RNAcentral is "tRNA-Thr". Lineage: Eukaryota; Metazoa; Arthropoda; Arachnida; Pseudoscorpiones; Chernetidae. The record is from RNAcentral.
GUCCAAGGGGGGGAAUCGAACCCACAGUGUUCAGCUUACCGGGCAGAUGCCAUGUCCACUAGGCUACCCUGGA